UACGUAGGUGGCAAGCGUUGUCCGGAAUUAUUGGGGCGUAAAGCGCGCGCAGGCGGCCUCUUAAGUCUGAUGUGAAAGCCCCCCGGCUCAACCGGGGAGGGCCAUUGGAAACUGGGAGGCUUGAGUAUAGGAGAGAAGUGGAAUUCCACGUGUAGCGGGUGAAAUGCGUAGAGAUGUGGAGGAACACCAGUGGCGAAGGCGACUCUUUGGCCUAUAACUGACGCUGAGGCGCGAAAGCGUGGGGAGCAAACAGG
Molecule: ribosomal RNA, 254 nt
Filed under: uncultured bacterium
Lineage: Bacteria
Description: partial 16S ribosomal RNA
Rfam family: Bacterial small subunit ribosomal RNA
Source: RNAcentral